GUGAAGUUGUUUGGCAUCCAGGGUUCAAUUCUCCAGAAGCAGGAGAAUUCAACUUAUGUGUGCGUAAAGGAAACACAAUUAAAUUGAAAUGUUUUGCAAAGCUUGGCAUUACUAAAGUUCAGUUUAUGGAACAAAGGAUACCCUUCAGUCAUAGUCCAAUCGGUUUACCUACUUUUAAGACAGCCAUUCUUCGAAAUACAGGAUCCAAUCACGCGUACUUCCAAGUUCUUGAUACAAACCCACUGCCUGGAAUGAUGAUCACCCCUUCUGAAGGGGUGGUACCUGUGGGAGGCCAUGCUGAUCUCAAAAUUUGUUUCACUCCGACUGCAAAAAUGACUUUUGAUACAGGAGUAGAGGUAUUCAAAACCAGAAGAACUUUGUCUUUUGAGUGUUAUGUUUUGUGUUUAUGUGUGGACAGAUGUGUACAUUUGAGAAUCUUCUGGAU
This 445-nucleotide long non-coding RNA is filed under the name Calidris pygmaea (Spoon-billed sandpiper). Its description in RNAcentral is "lncRNA (ENSCPGG00000003714.1)". The record is from RNAcentral. Lineage: Eukaryota; Metazoa; Chordata; Aves; Charadriiformes; Scolopacidae.